GAAAUGCGAUAAGUAAUGUGAAUUGCAGAAUUCAGUGAGUCAUCGAGCCUUUGAACGCACAUUGCACCCCCUGGCAUUCCGGGGGGCAUGCCUGUCCGUGCGUCAUUGCUACCCUCAAGCAAGGCUUGUGUGUUGGGCCGCCGUCCGCCCCGCUCCGCGGGGGUGACGCGCCCGAAAGGCGGCGCCGGCACCGCGUCCGGUCCUCGAGCGUAUGGGGCUUCGUCACCCGCUCCGUGGGACCGGCCGACGCCAGGCUUCGUCAACCUCUUCUUUUCUAGGUUGACCUCGGAUCAGGUAGGGAUACCCGCUGAACUUAA
Molecule: unclassified non-coding RNA, 317 nt
Filed under: uncultured Trichocomaceae
Lineage: Eukaryota; Fungi; Ascomycota; Eurotiomycetes; Eurotiales; Trichocomaceae
Description: sequence contains ITS1
Rfam family: 5.8S ribosomal RNA (bases 1-105)
Source: RNAcentral